RNAcentral lists this long non-coding RNA (371 nucleotides) under Elaeis guineensis (African oil palm). Its description in RNAcentral is "long non-coding RNA (EGUI_LNC035371)". The record is from RNAcentral. Lineage: Eukaryota; Viridiplantae; Streptophyta; Magnoliopsida; Arecales; Arecaceae.
GUGAGGCUCUUCCUUUGGAAGCUUGCCUAUGAUCGCCUUCCAACGUGCUCUCUUCUCAGUAGGAGGGGCAUGGACAUUCCGACUUCUUGUCCGAUGUGCGGACUCGAGGAGGAGUCGACCAAGCACGCCAUCCUGCACUGCCUGUGGGCGAGGCUGGUUUCGAGAUGGCUAGUAUCUACCACUGAGAGGUGAGAAGUGACCCGUGGAUGGAGUUCUUUCUGCGCAUGAUUCGUCAGAGUAUGUCUGAGGGGGGGCAUUCCUUCGAUGGUCCGAUGAUUUAUAUAGCUUAUCAGACUGGAUCUCUAGAAACUACCUUAUUUUUAAGAAUGAGGUGGUUUCUACAUGCAGGGUGCUUGAGAGAGCCUAGUGCC